This is a long non-coding RNA of Neofelis nebulosa (Clouded leopard), 940 nucleotides long. RefSeq lists it as uncharacterized. The transcript is spliced from 3 exons. NCBI's taxonomy places the organism in Eukaryota, Metazoa, Chordata, Mammalia, Carnivora, Felidae. The record is from RefSeq and is a predicted model, not a curated record.
ACCAGCGCACAGCUGUGCGUCAGCAUCACCCCUGGACGCGGCCUCCAAGUGCGUUCCCAUGAGGCUGCAAGCGGGAACACCACUGAUGAUGCAAGCCCAGUGGGAACUUCUCUGCAGUGUCGUGGGUGCUCAGGGGGCCUGGGAACGUCACGAAUGCGGAGUGGCCUAAUGUCAUUUGAUCUCAUCAUUAUGCCUUCCAACAACAAGCUGUCUCUACCCCUCUCCCAUCUGAUUCCUUCCCUUAGAGCAUUUCCUAAGAAUAUGGGUGGGAAUGAUGGGGAGGAGACCCUUCCUAUGUCCAUGCAGAAUCUACCUAAGUGGAUAAAUGAGUACCAUGCAAAAGUGCCUGGAUUAUGGUGAAUGUUUCCCUAGCCCUGCCGCCAAGUUUCUGAGGAGUUUACUGACCAGGACCACAAGCCAUGCCCAACCUCCUUCCACAAAGCCAUGCCCACACCUCACACCCAUGCACACAGACCAAAGAGUUCACGGCAAAAAAAUCAAUAUGGUCUCUGUCUUUUCUUUCAAGAUCUCAAAUGCUUCCUACUUCAAAGCAUAUCAUCUGUUUAGUUACUGCCUUUCACAAAGACACAAAGUGAGACAUUAAUUUGUGCAGCAUGAACUGAAUUUCCAAAACGUAUACAUGGGGAGUGUACAUGAGAAGAAUCUGUGGAUGCAAUGCAGUAAAGCACACUGCCCUGCCUUGGUGAUGGGAGUAACUGUGCUCAGCGCAUGUGGGUAGAUUCCACUAUUUCAUCACACUCACAUCGACAGCACAAAUGCCAUGCCACAUGAAUCAUUAAGGAGCAUCAUAUUUUCUUUGUACCUACAGCCUCUUCUAACCAUAAUGAAGUGGUUAAAACAAGCAACUGAUAAAAACCGUGGGCCAGUCUAUUAUUUUUACCCAAAUAUACCAUAGCAACCACAGGGAUGAAACAGACAA